RNAcentral lists this ribosomal RNA (270 nucleotides) under uncultured archaeon. Its description in RNAcentral is "partial 16S ribosomal RNA". It matches the Rfam family "Archaeal small subunit ribosomal RNA", at positions 477 to 747 of the family's 1478-position model. The record is from RNAcentral.
CAGCACCUCAAGUGGUCAGGAUGAUUAUUGGGCCUAAAGCAUCCGUAGCCGGCGCUGUAAGUUUUCGGUUAAAUCUGUACGCUCAACGUACAGGCUGCCGGGAAUACUGCAGCGCUAGGGAGUGGGAGAGGUAGACGGUACUCGGUAGGAAGGGGUAAAAUCCUUUUAUCUAUUGAUGACCACCUGUGGCGAAGGCGGUCUACCAGAACACGUCCGACGGUGAGGGAUGAAAGCUGGGGGAGCAAACCGGAUUAGAUACCCGAGUAGUCC